UCGUCAGGUGGGAUAAUCUUUACCUGUUCCUCCUUUUGGAGGGCAGAUAGAACAUGAUGAUUGGAGUUCGCAUGAAACAUGAUUAGCGUCUGCAUAACCAGGACUUACAACACCCUGGUUGCUCCUAUCUGAU
RNAcentral lists this small nucleolar RNA (133 nucleotides) under Castor canadensis (American beaver). RNAcentral's name for it is "U8 small nucleolar RNA (ENSCCNG00000001182.1)". It matches the Rfam family "U8 small nucleolar RNA". From Rfam's summary of the family: U8 is a member of the C/D class of snoRNA which contain the C (UGAUGA) and D (CUGA) box motifs. U8 is the RNA component of a small complex (the U8 snoRNP) which is required for accumulation of mature large subunit ribosomal RNAs, 5.8S and 28S rRNAs. The record is from Rfam by way of RNAcentral. Lineage: Eukaryota; Metazoa; Chordata; Mammalia; Rodentia; Castoridae.